GACGAACGCUGGCGGCGUGCUUAACACAUGCAAGUCGAACGGAAAGGCCCUGCUUCUGUGGGGUGCUCGAGUGGCGAACGGGUGAGUAACACGUGAGUAACCUGCCCUUGACUUUGGGAUAACUUCAGGAAACUGGGGCUAAUACCGGAUAGGAGCUCCUGCUGCAUGGUGGGGGUUGGAAAGUUUCGGCGGUUGGGGAUGGACUCGCGGCUUAUCAGCUUGUUGGUGGGGUAGUGGCUUACCAAGGCUUUGACGGGUAGCCGGCCUGAGAGGGUGACCGGCCACAUUGGGACUGAGAUACGGCCCAGACUCCUACGGGAGGCAGCAGUGGGGAAUAUUGCACAAUGGGCGGAAGACUGAUGCAGCAACGCCGCGUGCGGGAUGACGGCCUUAGGGUUGUAAACCGCUUUCGCCUGUGACGAAGCGUGAGUGACGGUAAUGGGUAAAGAAGCACCGGCUAACUACGUG
Molecule: ribosomal RNA, 468 nt
Filed under: uncultured bacterium
Lineage: Bacteria
Description: partial 16S ribosomal RNA
Rfam family: Bacterial small subunit ribosomal RNA
Source: RNAcentral